CAGCAGCAUUAAAACAGACUAAUACAUCUCCUAUUCUAUUUUUUGCAAAAACUUGAGAGGAAGUGGUGUUAAUUCUUUAGAUCUUUAGUAGAAUUUAUCAUUGAAAGCAUCUUGUCUUAGGCUUUUCUUUGUUGGAAGUUUUUAUUAUUAUCUUUACUAUUUACUACAUCUAUUUAAAUAGAUCUUGUAAUCAGUACUGGUCAUGUUUUUCUUUGUCCCUUGUAACAAAUUUGACUUAAAGUCUAGUUUGCCUGGUAUUAGUAUAGCCACUCUGGCUCAGUAUAGUCACUCAUGGAAUAUGUUUUUCAUACUUCGGUUUACAAACUACUUGUGUCUUUAUAUUUAAAGUGAAUCUCUGACAAACAGCAUAUAGUUGGAUUAUUUUAGCUCAUCUUAUGAAGGUAUCUUUUAAUUAUAGAGUUUAAUAUAUCUAAAAUGUAAUUAAUUAUAAUGAAUAUAAUUAUUAAUAAGGAAUAAGUUAUUUUUCCCAUUUUGUUAUUUGCUUUCUAUAUCUUGUACUUUUAUUUUUGUCUCACAACACAUCCCUUGCUGCCUUCUCUUAUGUUAGAUAACUAUUUUAAGUGUUCCAUUUUAAUUCCUUUCUUAUUACCUUUACUAAAUGAUUUCUGGUUAUUUCUUAGUGGAUCCUUUGGAGAUUACAAAAGAAAUCCUAAUUUAUAACAACAUUAUUAUAUCAUUUGAAUUAAUGUCAUAUAGUGUACACUAGUUACUUUCUUCCUGUCUCCCCUUUAUUGAUUUUUAAUUUUAUAUUUACCUGUGUAGUUGCCUUUUGUGUGGAUUGCCUUUAUUCUUUUGUGUGGAUUUCAGCUACAGCCUAGUGUACUUUCACUUUAGUUUAAAGGACUCCUUUUAGUAUUUCUUAUAAGGCAUAUCUACCAGAAACACACUUUUAGUUUGUGUGUCUGUGGGAAUAUCUUACUUCCUUCUUCAUUUGUGAAGUCGGUUUUAGCCAAAUACAGAAUUCUUUGUUGAUUUUUUUUUUCCUUUCAGCGCUUUAAAUAUGCCUUCCCACAGUCUUCUGGCUUUCAUAGUUUUUUUUUUUUUUUUUUUUUUUUUUUUUUUUUUAAUGAGAAUUCAGCUGUUAAUCUUAUGGUGAAUCCCUUGUAUAUGAUGAGUCUCUGCUCUCUUGCUGGUUUUAGGUUUCUUUUUGGGUUUAUUUUCAGUUUUGAUCUUUUUGCGUUUAUGCACCUUGACAUUAAUUAAGUUUCUUGUAUAUGCAGAUUCAGGUAUUUCACCAAAUCUGAGAAAUUCAGUCAUUAUUUCUUUCUUUCUUUUUCUUUUUUAGCCACCACACCUGGCCUAGUUCUUUAAAUAUUCCUUCUGCCGCUUUUUUUUUUUUUCGUCUCUCCUCUCUUCCUAGAACUAACAUUAUGGAUAUUUUUGUAUGCUUGGUAUCCCACAGGUUUCUUAGGCUCUCUAUUUUUCUUUAUUAUUUUUCCUUUAUGGUCCUCUGACCUGGGAAUCUCAUUUGAUCUACCUUCAAAUCUUCCCUAUACCUUUUCAAAUCUUCUGAAUUCCUCUGGUGAAUUUUUUAUUUUAGUUAUAUUUUUCUACACCAGAAUUUCUAUUUGGUUUCUUUUCAAAAUUUCUAUCUGUUUAUGGGUAUUCUCUGCUUGGUGAGACAUUGUUCUGAUGACUUCCUUUAUUUGUUUGUCUAUGAUUUUCUUCAGCCAUGUUAGUAUAUUUAAAAUAGUUGAUUA
This 1721-nucleotide long non-coding RNA is filed under the name Homo sapiens (human). RNAcentral's name for it is "non-protein coding lnc-DMRTA1-11:1". Lineage: Eukaryota; Metazoa; Chordata; Mammalia; Primates; Hominidae. The record is from RNAcentral.